AUUAGAGAGUUUAGAGACUGAAUAUUUCUGUGUUAUUAUUAAUGAACAAUGGGGGUUCCUUUAUAUAAGGAUUACAAGAUAAAGAGAAAAGGAAAGUGUACAUAUCAUAAUCCAAGAAGAAAUAUGAAAACUACUAAAACAUAAUAAUGGAAAGAUUACAUCUACUAAGAAAAGGAAAAGGGUUUCUUUUUCUCUAAGCUUUAUGGCUGUCUUUCUCUCUCCUGAAGUCGGCUCUCUCUCUCCUCUCUCUAGGCUUCAGCCGUCCCUCUAUCUUCUAGGUAUUGGGCCGGUCUUGGACCGAACCUGGUUAAUGGCAAUCCACUCCAUGAUUUAUAACAGAAGUCAGAUGAACACGGGAUUUAUUGAGAUGAGCAAACUGUCGGCAUGCAAAGAAUCUGUAGUGGAAUUGGUGUUGAAGAUCAGACAGCUGUGCCUUUCCCUGUCUUCACGCCUCUGGUCAGCCUCAUAACACCCAAAAGGGAGGAUGACAUUUUAUUAAUGGAAUGCAACAACAAAAGGAUUAGAAAAACCAAAGAGCACAAGAUAAAGGAAGAUUCUUACUUAUCACGAAUCUGAAAGAGAUUGUAUCUGAGCGCUGACCCAACAUACAUCAAUGUGUGCAAGAAGGUUGCAAAUGGACCAUGAUAAUGUAACGACCCGGAAUUGUCAACCGAAUUGGUUUGUUUUUCUUUUAAUUAAUUUAGAAAAAACCCAAUUCAAUUUCCUUUUUGGUUUAACCAAACCGUGUAUGCAACUAUAUAAAUCAUAUACAUCUCCAUCUCCAUAAAACCUAGCCGCAUACCUUCACGUCUCAAGAUUUAUCACCUCCUUCCCAUCUUUCUCGCUCAUCACAUGUUUCACUUCUUCUCCAUGUGUGCAUAUGUCUAUCAUAGAAGCCGAGACGGGACGCACCCAUCGUUCACCUCCAAAAUCUGAUCCACCGCUUGCACCGCGAUGCCACCACUGGCUCUUCCCGUCGUCUUGGAGCUAUCGCCAUGUCAGACAGAGAGACAGCCUCUCCAUCAGUGGUCAAACGGACGUGUUGUUGCCUCGCAACGAACUCAAGAGAUGUAUAUAUGACGUGAGGAGAUGCACAAAGACGGAGCCACCGACUCCCCACCGCGGCACCGAUCGGAUCCACCGUUGUAAGCUUUGAGCCACAGCCUCUUCAUCGACGACCACCGAUCUGCUUUGCCAUGAACCGUUAGCCACCGGAGAGCUGAGCCGUAUCACCGAAGAUCUAAACGUUCGAACCGUAGCUAUUUCCGAGAAGGAAGAAAUCAAAGACCUUAUGGGUUAUUUUUUUGCCAAGUCAUUCUCUGUGAAGCCUAGACGUUUGACGAGGCAUAUCAGUUCCCGACUAUUAUCCGAUGAAUCUCUAAUAUUGGCUAAGGUGAUGGUCCGUAAAUCCCCUACCAGUGUAGAAUUCUUCCUAUGUUAGUUUAAAUUUCGAAUCAUGAUCCGUCUGUUUGAAUUGAGUCUGUUGAGUCCUGAUUGGUAAUUUGUUCAUUCAUUGUAAACUGUAAUUAGGGAUCUAGAGGAUUCAACCGUUGAUUGGAUUGUGUGAUGUUAAGCGAUGAUAUAUAUAUACGAGUAUACAUAGUUAUGAGUAGGGACUAUGUGCGCGGGCGGGGACUCAGAGAUGUCUGGGCUAGCGACGCCACGUUGAUUGUGCGGACGGGGGUUCAGAGACGUCUGGGCUAGCGACGCUACUGGUGAUGGGUGUGUGGUGUAGAGACUUUUGUACCAUCGACGCUACUUGAGCGGGCGGGGGUACAGAUACAGACUAUACUAGCGACGCUAGGUAUUUAUAUAUUCCUCGAUGCGGAGUGUAUGGACUAGCUAUAUGCUAACAUCGCAUUGUUUGUGUUUGUGUAUGUGUGAUGCUUUAGGCGUCUUGCUUGUUCAUGUUAGAGCUAAACUUCCAUAGUGGGAGUUCUAUUUACUCAAGUUAGUGGUUUGCGUGUUUAGCAUCCCAUACCUCACGUAGUAACUCCCCUGUUAAUCACCCCUCCUUUCUUUCCCCUUUCAGGUGAGACUGACGAGCAUGAGUGAUUGCUAUCAUAUUGGUUCUUCGGGAGUUUUUUGUUUCUUUCUUUUUCAGACUUGCAAUUUUUAUGCCUUUAUCGAUAUUUCAGGAUUAUUAUUUAUUAUUUUAUUUUGGAGGAUACGGGUGUUUCAAUUUGGUAUCAAAGCGGGGUUCCGUCUCGGCUCUGACCCGGGAUGGCGAUUUGUGGGGACUCGAUUUUAAUCGGUUAAGACGAUUUUCAAAACAUUUUUAGGGAUUUGGGAAUUUUUAAAAUAAAAAUGAAUAGCACCUUUCCGUUCAGUAAAUUAUUACUCAAUUGUCUCUUUUAUGCUGAUGAGUAAAACCUUUGCCAUUCGACCUUAGGCUAACAAGGUUUCAGCCCGAUGUUCAACAAAUUGAUGAUGUCAAAGUUUGUUAGAUUGUUCAGGUGUCUAUCAGUUCUUUCAGUCGUGUUCAGAGAUUUUCCGUGAGGGGAUAUGUGACGUUUCCGCCACCACCUAACUCUAAGCUAUCAAUCCACGAGUUUUUGUUACUGGAGCUUAUUUGGUAUGAUGAGUGGUGAGCCAUUGGUUGGCAUGUGUUAUUCUUGUGUAUGAGUCAACUGACUAUUUUGAAGGUGUGUUCAGUUUGUGAACUCAUGGGGAUCGCUUUUGGAUUGGGGGUGCAACAUCUUGCGUUGUGUUUAUAUUUGAGUUAUGCUUGGUUUGGUUUGCCAUAUUUUGGAUGUGUUGAUCGUUUCAGAGUGUGUUUAAGUUAUGAUGAUUCAGACAGCUGCAUAGAUACCCUGGAAGCUAUUUGUAUUCAUCGAGAUGUGCCAGUUCUACUUUGUGUUGACGAGUUCAUUGGGGAUCCAACAGGGUUAGAGUAUAACUAGUAGGAUGUCAUUCUUGAGAUGGAUUGGUUGUCACGGCAUCGAGUAGUGUUGAUUUACCAGACGGCAAGAGUGCACAUUCCUGGAGCAUUGAGAGAUUAUAUCGCCUCCAUGUUGCAUUAUGAGGAGUUAUUGGAGAGAGGAGCAAAGGGAUUUUUUUGGCAACUAUUUCGAUGGUUAAGGAUGAUAGCCAGCAUGAGCUGCAGGAUAUUAGAGAUGUUGCAGAGUAUGAGGAUGUAUUUGAGGCCUUAAAAUGGCCACCACUAGCCAGAGGAUACGCUCAUACGAUUGAGUAGGAACCACAGACAGCAUCAGCUUCACGAGCUCCACACCGUCACCAGCAGAGAUGGCUGAGUUGAAAAAGCAGUUGGAGAAACAAUUAGAUAAAGUUUUCAUCUGACGGAGUAGUUCACCCUGGGGAGCAUGUAUGGAGGACGGGUUUCCAUACACGUUAUAGACAUUAUAAGUUUGUGGUGAUGUCAAUUGGGUUGUCGAAUGCACUGGCAGCAUUCAGAGAACGUAUGAAUGAUGUCUUUAGUGCGCACUUGGACAAGUGCGCGAUUGUCUUCAUCGACGACAUCAUGAUUUAUUCUCGGAGCAGAGAGGAGCAUGUAGAGCAUUUACGGAUUGUGUUAGGUGAUCUUGGAAAGUAUUAGUUUUUGCUAUCUGAGUAAGUGUAGUUUGUCCCAGAGGAAAAACAAAUUGGAUUUUUGGGUCAUGUGGUUUUGGAAGCAGGAGUUGCUGUAGAUUAUGAAUAUAUUACUUCAUUUUUCAGAGAGGUCGACACCUAAGAGGUACAGAGAUUUUGUGUUACAAUCAAUGGCUUAGCGUGAAAAUGGAUGUAGCUACAUUGUGUCGCAGUGUCAGACAUGUCAGAUUGUUAUGGUUGGGUAUCAAGUACCUAGUUGGUUAUUGCAGAACCUGAUUUUGCCAGAGUGAGAAUGGAAUAUGGUGACUAUGGAUUUUGUAACUACACGACCGACCACCUCAGGUGGGAAGAAUGAUAUAUGGAUGAUCAUGGAUAGACUCACCAAGUUAUCUCAUUUCUUAGCGAUUAAGAAGACGGACACAGUUGAUCAGUUGGUUCAGAUUUACAUCAGAAAGAUUGUGAGGUUACCUGGAGUUCUCGUCAACAUUGUAUACAUCAAGAUGCAAAAGUUCUCAUCGGCAUUUUGGAAAGCCUUUCAGAAGGCACUUGGGACAACGAUUCACAUGAUUACAACCUAUCCUACGCAGAUGGGCAGCUAGAGAUGACUAUUCAGACUUUAAAGAUAUCUUCAGGACUUGUGUUUUUGAUUGAGAAGGGAGUUGUUAAAAGUAUCUACCUUUACCAGAGUUUGCCACAACAAUAGUUACCAUUCGAGUAUGAGAUGUCACCAUAUGAGGCACUUUAUGGUAAGGCUUCUCGUACACCACUUUGUUGGACAUAAGUGGGGGAGAGACGAGACUUAGAAUCAGCAAUGGUUCAGAAGACGGUAGAGCAAGUUGAGAGGCUCAAGGCUCGGCUUAAGGAAGUCCAUGAUCGUCAGAAGAGUUAUGCAGAUAAGCGCUAGAAAGAUUUAAAGAUUCAGGUGGGAGACUUAUUAUACCUGAAAAUGAGGACAUUUCAGGGAGGAUCUAGAACUCGGAAGCUAAAGAAGCCUAAGCCGAGUAUAUGGGACUGUACCUCAUUGUGGAGCGGAUUAGAGCAGUGGCUUAUAGAUUGCAGUUAUCAGGUUGUGAGAGUUUCAAGGUGUAAUCCAUAUGACAGUUUGAGGAAGGGUGGGAGAGAGCCAAAGCUCUUUUUGCAGCAGCCGCCAAGUGCUCAUGGUAAAAAAAAAUUGUAUCUAGCAAGCCAGUUAAGAUUAUGGACCGCCAAGUGAACGCGGUUCAGGGAAUAAUGACUAUAUUAGUCAAAGUUUGUUGGGAAAGAGACAGGAUCUUGGAGGUGACCUGAGGGAACCAAGACUCAGAUGAGGAUUGAGUAUCCAGGAAUUUUUUUUUUUUUUUUCAGGUUGAUAUUGGACAGCCGGUUCAUGAUUUAAAUUCGGGGACAAAUUUCUCACAAGUGGGGAAGAAUUGUAAGACCCGGAAUUGUCAACCGAAUUGGUUUGUUUUUCUUUUAAUUAAUUUACAAAAAAAAACCAAUUCAAUUUCCUUUUUGGUUUUACCAAACCGUGUAUGCAACUAUAUAGAUCGUAUACAUCUCCAUCUCCAUAAAACCCAGCCGUAUACAUUCAUGUCUCAAUUAAUCACCUCCUUCCCAUCAUUCUCGCUCAUCACAUGUUUCACUUCUUCUCCAUGUGUGCAUAUUUCUAUCAUAGAAGCCGAGACGGGACGCACCCAUCGCUCACCUCCAAACUUUGAUCCACCGCUUGCACCCGGAUGCCACCACCGGCUCUUCCCGUCGUCUUGGAGCUAUCGCCAUGUCAGAGAGAGAGACAGCCUCGCCAUCAGUGGUCAAACAGACGUGUUGUUGCCUCGCAUCGAACAGAAGAGAUGUAUAUAUGACGUGAGAAGGAGAUGCACAAAGACGGAGCCACCGUCUCACCACCGCGGCACCGAUCAGAUGCACCGUUGUAAGCCUUGAGCUACAGCCUCUUCAUCGACGACCACCGAUCUGCUUUGCCCUGAACCGUUAGCCACCGGAGAGCUACGCCGUGUCACCAAAGAUCUAGACGUUCGAACCGUAGCUAUUUCCGAGAAGGAAGGAAUCAAAGACCUUAUGGGUGAUUUGUUUGCCAAGUCAUUCUCUCUGAAGCCUAGACGUUUGACGAGGCAUAUCAGUUCCCGAGUAUUAUCCGAUGAAUCUCUAAUAUUGGCUAAGGUGAGGGUCUAUUCCGUAAAUCCCGUACCACUGUAGAAUUCUUCAUAUAUUAGUUUAGAUUUCGAAUCAUGAUCUGUUUGUUUGAAUUGAGUCUGUUGAGUCAUGAUUGGUAAUUAGUUCAUUCAUUGUAAACCAGAAUUAAGGGUCUAGAAAAUUCAACCGUUGAUUGGAUUGUGUGAUGUUAAGCGAUGAUAUAUAUAUAUAUACGAGUAUGUAUAGCUAUGAGUAGGGACUAUGUGCGCGGGCGGGGACUCAGAGAUGUCUGGGCUAGCGACGCUACUAUGCUUAUGCGGGCGGGGGUGCAGAGACGUCUGGGCUAGCGACGCUACUGGUGAUGGGCAUGCAGAGACGUUUGUACCAUCGACGCUACUUGAGCGGGCGGGGGUACAGAGACAGACUGUACUAGCGACGCUACGCAUUUAUAUAUCCGUAUGAGGAGAUGCGGGGUGUAUGGACUAGCUUUAUGCUAUCAUCGGAUUGUUUGUGUUUGUGUAUGUGUGAUGCUUUAGGUGUUUUGCUUGUUCAUGUUAGAGCUAAACUUCCAUAGUGGGAGUUCCAUUUACUCAAGUCAGUGGUUUGCGUGUUUAGCAUCCCAUACCUCACGGAGUAACUUCCCUGUUACUCACCCCUCCUUUCGUUCUCCUUUAAGGUGAGACUGACGAGCAUUAGUGACUGCUAUCCGACUGGUGCUUUGGGAGUUUUAUUUCUUUUCUCAGACUUGCGGUUUUUAUGCUUUUAUCGAUAUUUCAGAAUUAUUAUUUAUUAUGUUAUUUGGGAGGUUACGGGUGUUUCAGAUAAAGUCCUCAUUCAUUGGGUGAAUGGUCUCACCUUGCUGGAAACAAAGGCGAAAGGAGAACAAACAAACAAAGACAAGAGUAUAGUUCAUAGAAAAUAAACAUUACUUUAUGCAUUAGCAGCAGAACCUUGGAUACGUUUCCAGAAAGAUCAGUCUGCCCAGAAGCUUUUAGAGCCCUUUUUGUAGUUGUUUUCUUAGAUCAUUCUUUUCUUAUUGGCCUUUUUGCCAUCUUCUUCUUAAUUUAUUUGGUAUAAAAGAUCUGAUACGGCUGGCCAGUAGCCACCAUCGAAAUAUGGGAGCCUAGAUUCCGUAACCAUAGCUCUACAUUCAUAAAUUUGCAUAAAAACGUGGUCAUAUAUUUUUAUAGUUUCUGCAACAGUGCCUUCCUUUGAAGCUUUUUCAUCAUUGCUGAGUGAUUGCAAAGAACGACAUGCACAAUUGGAUCAUUAUAUGAUAAAAUCAUUGCCCUUGAGUGGAGGACAAGCCCAUAUGUAGCAGCUCGUGAAACCACGCAACUUGCAAUAUUCUGGGUAACCGAUUUAAGCAAAGGAGAAAAUCAUACCCUUAAUCCUCCAUAGAAAUUACAAUAAAAAGCAGAUAUUGAUGACCAAAGUUAGAGAAUACCAGAAGUGUAUGGACAUUGUACAGUCAGAAAGAAGUUGUGGUUGCUUCGGGUAAUGUUAAUGGUCGCCGGCAUUACCUGCUCGUCGACGGACAACAUGUCAACCCUAUAAUUCGCUUCCUUUCUUCACAUGACGGGACUCCAAAACCUCAGGCAGCCAUUCCCGGUCGAAAUGCUGGCCAUUGAGCAACGAGAAGGUGAAUUGAAUUAGACCUAGUGGGAGAAGUGGGUCGGUGGUUUUUAAGCUGUGUAAAUUCCUUCGCUUUAGUGUAGCCUACGACGGUUACGCCUCUGCGUCUUCGGAGUGAUUCGCUGAACAUAGAUCGACACUACAUGCGCGACCUCGUGGAGGCAGAGAUAAAGAAGAAGUGUGGAUUUUUUUUUCAUUAAACCAUUUGGGCUUCCAUCACAGAUAUUUGGUGGCCGCCCAACUGUAUGAAGACAUACACAUGUUUUUGAGACUUGGAGAUUUUCCCAAAACACAUAAAAUCUUUUCGAAACUAGAAGUAUGUCCUAACAGCCUAUGUCACGAAAAUAAAUGCAAGAGAUGAUUAAUUAGGAGUUUUCGGGUGUCAAAAAAUAUCCUAUGCAUUUCUGAUGUGGUACAAUGAGAGGGGCUAAAUUCCAUUUUAUUAGUAUAGACUAUGGACGGGCAUAGCCUCCGCGCAAGCGCGGAGCCGGAUACAUUGUUGAUGUGUUGUAUAGUUUUGUGUACGGGAUUUUGUCGUUUGUUUUUUUUUUGAAUUUUUGUUUUUGUAUAUUGUCUAUAAGUGAUAAAAUAAACAUUGGAAGGCACGUAGCUUGAUUAGGUUGAAAUAAGAAUGACCGGCAAAUUCAUAUGUGUUGAUAUUUUCAUAUCUUAAAGUAUUAGCGCUUUCAUGUUCAAAAGCUGAGGUUUAUGGAGUUGGUUAGUGUUUAGUUAGGUAGUUGUUAGUAUAUAAAUUAAAAAAUGUGUAAAGAAAAUGGUAUAAAAUUUUGUUCUUAAAAAAUUAACAAUAACAAUGUAUCCGAACAAUAAAUUAAAAUAUUUUAUAUUUUCCCAAAAUUAAUUUCAGAAAUAUAGAAUUGUAAUAAAAUGUAUGCUUAAACAUUAAUAACUAUAGAAAUUUAUAAAAUUAUAUAGUUACAAAAUCAUUUAUUUUUUUGAAUUCUUACUGAAAUUUGUUAAAAAUAAUUUGGGGUGGACAAAAAAAGUCUGAAAUAGGUGGACCAAAUAUAUAAAUUUUGUUAUAGUUAUGGCCCAAUAUAGUAAUAAAGUAAAACCUGGGUUUUAAAAUAUUUUCCUUCAAAAGAACUCGGCCUUGAAUCUGUAGUUUUGUCUGCUUCUGAGAAAACUCCUAUUUUUUCCGUUGUCUUUCCGUUGUCGGGAAAGUCGACACAAUUUUCUUCCUGUCAGUACUUGAGUUUUUAGUUUGCGAGAUUGAAAAAUGAUAAUUAUUUUACAGCCUUAUUGAUGAUAGAUUUGCUUACACCAGCUCCGUCUUCCUCCGGUGUAGUCGUUGAUCUUCGGCGGUUUCGUCAGCGUCGGAAGUUAGACCUGCAAGAGAGAGGGUUUGAAUAUGUUAAUUUGCUUGGUUGUUUUGUUAUUCGUUUGGUCGGUUAUAUGUGAACUGAAACCAUGGCUUGUGAUUUAUGAUUUGAUAUUUUAUUUGUUAACAUACCGAUUGAUUGUGGCAGGCCAUUGUAGGCCUUAUUGUACACGAUGUUGGCUAUCGUCCUACUCCCAUCCCCAUUUCUUCUCAUGUUUAAAAUCUUGAGGCCCUUGGUUGUAGUGACUCUUGACAGUGCCAUGUAUAGGUGACCAUGGCUGAAGACUAGUUUAGACAAGUAUAGAACAAUGUUUGACAAAGUUUGUCCUUGACUUUUAUUUACCGUCAUUGCAUAACAAACUCGGAUUAGAAACUGGCGUCGUUUCAAGGUGAAUGGGUGGUUGGAUUCUGGUGGUGACAAUAUGAUCCGUGGUAGCAGGAUAGGAUCCGUCUUGGUUGUUGUUGUAAGCAUUUUAGUUUUAAUAACCUGACCGGAGAUAGCUACGCGCGGGAUUUUGUAUAGUUCGACAAAAAAAAAUUGAUAUUUGUUUGUUCUUGUUUUGUUUGGAACAGUGUUUUGAAUGAUUAUUAGUGGGGCUUAUGGUCUGUUUCUUUUUAAGUGGCCCGUUGGAUCGCAUUAUAAGUUUAAUGUUUCGGUCUUUUGUUUGCAGUUGCUUGCUGUUGAAGAAGUCUUUCUUACUUACCUUAUUAUAAGAUUGGGCCUAUUUUAAGUAAAUUGGAGUUGGGGUUUCUUAAUAUAUACGUGGAGUCCAGUGUCGCGGCGUUUAAGUUCAAGUGUGGCAGUACUAUGAAAAGUGAAGUUAGGUGGUUACAUUCUACGGACUGAUGUUUAAUGCUUCAUGUAUUCGGAAUCCAAACAGGCUUUUUGUUGUAACACUUUUUUGUAACACUGGUAUACAAGCAGGUUGGUCCUCCAUUUUAACAGCCUCAUUAUUGUAGUUUCUCAUUUGUGUGAUAAAUGAGGAGAUAUAAGCUUGGUUAUGGCUAGCUUGUUUAAAAUCGUGAUUAUUGCUUUUUGAUAUUUUAAUGCCCCAUCAGAAGUUUUUACUGUUGUACGUUGGGUAUGUGACAGUGUAGAUUUAGUUAAAAUGGGCUUGUAUUUGAGUUUUUGUUAACUAUGGUCAUGGUUUUACAAUGUGGCAUGCAGUUCCGUGUUCUGGUUCAACCGGUCGUCUGGUUCAAUAAGCAGCAUAUAGUGUUCUCUAGAGUGGAGUGAGCUUUUUUUUAGGCUUCUCGUAACAGUAAGUUUAUUUUUAUUUGGGAUCAAAUAAGUUUUGGCUCGCCUGUGUUUUUUUGUCAAAGUAAAAAUCAGUUCAAAAUGGCUAUCAGUUAGUACAGAUUAGUUAUGAUCAUAAGGUUUGUAGCUAUCGACGUAUCAAAGAGAAGACGGCUAAUAGAAGGCUUGUCUCAAUAAUAACCGUCCACACCCACCCUUUCUAAUUUUUGGUGAAGUAGGCCUCUCUGGGUACUUCCAUUUUUUCGCACCAUCAGUGCUUGGAUAAAUAUAAACAUUUCCGUGAAAUGUAAUACACCUAGUAAUAAUAAAUAUAAAAACAAAUGUCAAGUCAAAAAUGUUAAAAAUUGUUAGCCUGUAGAAAAUAUACUAAUAAAUAUAUCUUAUCACCUUACAGGAAAAAAAUAUACUAAUAAAUAUUAAAACAAACCGAAGUAAAUAAUACAACGCUUAAAUUAAUCAUUUAUACAAUCAAACUACUAUAUUGAUGACUACGCGAGAGUAUUAAAUUAUUAAUUGAGCAGAUCAGUCUGCGACGACAAAAGUGGGGGCCCCUUGGUGCGAGAUCGAGCUAAUGUCAAAUGGUAUCACCAGUGGGGAGCAAUGCACUUUGAACUUGGAAUUCGAUCAUACAAUUUUCAUGGAAUAUACCGCAGUUAAAAGUUUUAUCUUAGUAAAAAGGUAAAUAUAAUCAUCAUCACUUUUAAUAUUAGGGCUUUUCUUUUCGUUGACGCGGUCGAUUCGGCGGCUACAAAACAGGAAGGAAAUCUUAUAAUUAACGCCAUCGUUUUUAAGUUUGUGUAGCCGGCUUUAUAAGAACAUCCGCGUUCUCCAACUUUCUUGUCGCCGGAAUUUAUGGCGUCAUGCAAGUCUCCAAUUUUUUAUCGCCGCGUUUUGGAUUUUUUAUUUUAGCAACAGUAAAGAAAAGAUGAAUUUACAGUGUAGUGUAUUUUUUGUGCCGCCGAAGGCUGCGUCCGCGUCAACGAAAAGAAGAGACCUAUUAUAGAAAUAGAAGUCAUUGUUCUCAAAACUGAGGAAUCAUAAUUAUAUAUAUGAAAUCUAUAUUAUAAUAGUUGAGUUUAUGCUCAAUCUAAAAGUGUCCACGUCAACAACUCCUUCAUUAGUGUGGGUCCCACAACUUCUGAGCAUUGAAACGUAAAAUCAAAAAUAUAUUACCAUAGUAGAAAAAUGUACAUACAUUUUCUCUCCA
Molecule: long non-coding RNA, 11118 nt
Organism: Brassica napus (rape)
Lineage: Eukaryota; Viridiplantae; Streptophyta; Magnoliopsida; Brassicales; Brassicaceae
Exons: 5
Source: RefSeq, a predicted model, not a curated record